GAGUGGCGCAAGGGUGAGUAAUACGAAGGUAACCAACCCUGAAGUUGGGCAUAGCCGCGGGAAACUGCGGGUAAUUCCCAGCGACGUUGCGAGAUGGCAUCAUCUUGCAACCAAAGGUGUGAUUCCGCUUUAGGACGGGCCUUCGUGGUAUUAGGUAGUUGGUGAGGUAACGGCUCACCAAGCCUACGAUGCCUACCGGGUGUGAGAGCAUGACCCGGCACACUGGAACUGAGACACUGUCCAGACACCUACGGGUGGCUGCAGUCGAGAAUCUUCGGCAAUGGGCGAAAGCCUGACCGAGCGACGCCGCGUGAGGGAUUGAAGGCCUUCGGGUUGUAAACCUCUUUCGUAGAGGAGGAAGGGGCUGUGAAGAACAGUCCUUGACCUAUUCUAGGAAGAAGCUUGGGCUAAGUUCGUGCCAGCAGCCGCGGUAAGACGAACCAAGCGAACGUUAUUCGGAAUUACUGGGCUUAAAGCGCGUGUAGGCGGACUACCACGUUGGUUGUUGAAAUCCCCCGGCUUAACCGGGGAACUGGCACCAAUACGAGUAGUCUGGAGGUGGGUAGGGGAGACUGGAACUUCCGGUGGAGCGGUGAAAUGCGUUGAGAUCGGAAGGAACGCCCGCGGCGAAAGCGAGUCUCUGGACCCAUACUGACGCUGAGACGCGAAAGCCAGGGGAGCAAACGGGAUUAGAUACCCCGGUAGUCCUGGCUGUAAACAUUGGGCACUGGGUAGUGGAACCGCCGAUGGUUUCACUGCCGCAGGGAAACCGUGAAGUGCCCCGCCUGGGGAGUAUGGUCGCAAGGCUGAAACUCAAAGGAAUUGACGGGGGCUCACACAAGCAGUGGAGUAUGUGGCUUAAUUCGAGGCUACGCGAAAAACCUUACCUAGGC
This 893-nucleotide ribosomal RNA is filed under the name uncultured bacterium. RNAcentral's name for it is "bacterial SSU rRNA". It matches the Rfam family "Bacterial small subunit ribosomal RNA", at positions 93 to 980 of the family's 1533-position model. The record is from RNAcentral.